CGGCCCCGGCUCGAGCUCCUCGGCCUGGUGGUUCUUCUGCACGCGGCGGCUUUGCAACCGGCCGCCUCUUGGCUGCAAUAGCUUCGCAGCCUUGCUCUGCGCACACAUUUUCUGCGGAGCGGGGGGAAAAAGGAGUGUUUGUCUAUGGAUAUAACCUGUUCUGAGGGACCGGCUUGAAGCCAUCCAGCUCCCGGGUGCAGACGCGACUCGGGGCACCACCAAAACCAACAGGCAGAACUGCAGCCCUCCUAAACUCUCUCAACGCAGCUACUUAGGUGUGAGUCUACACGCUCCAUAUCGGCCAGAGACAACUGCGGCUGCAACGCAUCCGAAGGUCACCGACCCAGGAUCGAGCCGGCCCAGAUGGGCCCAUAUCACUUGCAGCUCUACGCCCUCGUUCGGUUCAUCUUUUCGGUGGAUUUAACGUUCAGCUCUGCGUCGUUAUUUUGGAGUUGCUCUCCACAGGAAGCGCCACGAUGGCUCCAGCUCAGCACACCAUCCGGCCGGCAGGAUGGUGUGCGCUAAGCUUACCGCGACGCUGCAGCUACUCCCUAGGAGACCACGAAGAAGUGUGGGCUCUCUGGGAGGCAGCUGGGAGACAUCGCAAACCUGGCACUCCAGCAGACGGACCCUUGUUUCUGUGCCCGACCACAAAAAAGUGGCACAGCACCCCUUUCAAAAUUGCAGCUGGCCACUGGGCUGAGGUUUGCUGCCGUUGGAUUCAUGCGCGAAGCCUGAGCAGAACUGAAGCCCAGCUGCUCACACAGGUAAGCCGAGAAAAGAUGCUCUGCACCAUGUUUCUGCCAGGCAAACGAUGGGACAACCCUAGCUCUUUGCUACUGAGACACUGAACUCAAAACAGACAGCGGCUUUGCUCAAGACAGCCAGCCGAGCCAUGAGACAGGAACUCUGGGAGCACUUCGUAGGGUUUUAGAGACUGCAAAAACUAGCAAGUCUUCAGGGGGGCCAGAAAUGCCAAACUCACCACGUUUGCAGCUAAAUCCCCAGAUGAAGAGACAGAGAGAUUUGGUUUGGCUGAAAAGGUGUCUGAAAUGCUCCAGUACUCUGAAUUAAGACCUCUACUGGAUUUGGAACUGGUCAGCUAUAUACAGAGCAAAAGCAACUGCUUCAGCUACAGACCUGUGUGGAAGGAUAGAUCUCCUCCUUUCUGUGCUGCAGAGUACAUGAAGGUUGAGAAAGCAGAAUGACCAGUUGGAUGGCUUGUGGCGCUGUCGCUUCCUGACCGCACCUAUGCCCAGAUUCACUCAAGCAGCAACGGAGCAAACUGCAGAAGAGUUUGAUGGGGAGCAUGCUUGACUUGCUUUAGCACGCUUCAUUCUGCCUGAGUUUGAAUUCGUUUUUGUUGUGACGUCUAUGAAUCAGCUGCUCCAUUCAAGAGCUUUGUGUAGGAGGUAGAGGCAGAUGUACUGGGGAGAUACAAAAGUGUUUAAGGCCCACUCUGCACCCUGGUGCAGCACUUGUACUCUAAAAAGCAAGCAGCUCUGCCUAGUCCUCUGUGGGACACCUUCUGAGGAGCAAAUUGGGGCUCAAGGUUGAGCAAUCCCUCUUCACAUCCAGCCAUGUACAGCUCCAUUUGGGAAGAUGAUGCAUCCAGGAAUAACUGGUCUUCUCAAGGAGAUAGACCGAGCUAGGGGGGUGCUUGGUACUGCACCUCCACAGGCUACGUCUCUGUUUGCAAGUUGCGCCACGCUCUCAGAGAUGGUGUGUAUAGCUAAUGAGCUGGUGCAGAAGAACUGUCACCUACACUGCAUGUGUCAGGGAGGGCAUCACCUUGGACUCGUGGAUCCCAUGGACUAGACACCCAUUAAAGGCCAGGUCAAAUGUGGGUGAUCUCCCAGGCUUAUCUUCCACUCCCUUCCACAGGGCACUCCUAAUGGGAACUACAGCACUAACCCAGCUGCACCCUCAGCCCUCCAGGACGGCAGCAAGCUUGCCUAGAGGUUUGCCUUGUCGUGAGACCUGAAGUCCAGGCUUUUCUCCAGUUCAUACCAGUUCCCUUCCCGUUCUCUUCGAGGUCAGGGUAGGCAAUGAAACUGCCUCCAAAUGAGGCACCCCUCAGUCUACAAGGGCUUUUUCACACAGGUUGGUGUGCAGAUUCCCUCCAGCAAAAGCCUGCAGCAUCGGGUUUUACUUAACCUGUAGAACCUGGAAUUGGGGAGAUGGAAGGUCUCUGGGAGCUGGUUAAGCUUGUUUAAUGCUUGGAUAUGCUUUCCUUAAUUAUUUCACCCUGGAUGGGUAACUAGCUUCCCAGUGCUGAAUGGCUUAGUUCUCAGUUACAGAAGUGCAGCUGGCAGCAGGAUUUGGCUCUAUUGGUCAGCAUCCCAGCGGUGGGAAUUCAGACGGCUCCUGCACUGGUGCUGCGGUCCCACUGUCAUCUCUCCCUUGCAGAGACGGGGAGACAUGCUGCAGGGAGGAGGCAGCACUGCAAUCAGCCAGCUCUUGGGGCACUGCAGGCACAGAUACCGGUGUUUCUUUUCUCAUCCUUCUGCUGAGGGAGCCUGCUGAGGGGUCACACUGAGCUGAGCUGGUGGCAGAGACCGGGAUCCUGCUCGGCAGCUUGCCAACCUGCCUGGUGGGGUCUGUGGGACCAGUUCGCCCCCAAACCUGACAUCAAGGAGAAGGACUACAGCCCUACGUGGAGCACCAGAGCCACUGCAGGAGACGUUUUGGCAGCAGUCAUGUUUCAAAUCAGUUAUCCCACAAAGGUGCUCACACAUUUCCAAAUCUAGGCAAGUCUGAGAGAGUUUCUUCAGUCUGGUUCUAUCCCAUUUCCCUGGUUCAAAGCAGGGGGAGUGAAUAAUUCAUCUCCUGCCCUCCAGUUCCCUCCCUGCUCCGGU
Non-coding RNA from Struthio camelus australis, 2858 nucleotides. The record is from RefSeq and is a predicted model, not a curated record. NCBI's taxonomy places the organism in Eukaryota, Metazoa, Chordata, Aves, Struthioniformes, Struthionidae.